GCGUGGUUAUUUUUUUUUUAGAGAUAGAUAACACGCUAUCCGCUUCGUUUAUUUCAUUAAAAAAUAAAUUUAGCUAAAAAUAUGAAUCAAUUAGAAUUUGAACUUAGGUCUCGGGUACCAACCACCAAGCUCUUUGACAUUGCUUUAGGGACGGUCGAUAGCGUGGUUAUUAAAUAGGAAUAAUUGUCUAUACACCUUUCAAAACUUAAAAAAUAUCUUAUUUAUUUUUAGUCUUUUUUUUUUUCAAUAUACAUCUUAUAUAUUCCUCUGUUAUUUUAAAAUACUGCUCCAGUUACCACCUGUUAAAUUAGCUUGGGUUAAACGCGAGUUAAAUAUCUAUUAGAGUUAGAAAAAAUCAAAAUGUUUCUUUUGCUCUUAACUUAAAAGACAAAUAAGAAAUGUUGAUGAUGGUAAAAGAAUAUAUUUGAAAAGACCAAAAAUCAAAGUAAUUUUUGUAUUCUUAAUUUAAGGGCAAAUAAGAAAAGUCAGUGAUGAUAGAAAGAUAUAUUUGAAAGGGCAAAAUAGUAAUUUUAUAGAAAUAGCAUGUAUUUUAAUAGUUCAUUAACAGAAUUUAAAGAUAUAUUUGAAAUAUAUUAGAACGUAAAAAGAGUGUUUUCAAUAUUAACUUUCUACGAGGGGUAAAUCAGAAAGUCGAAAAUCUUUCAGAAAUAUAUAAGCAAUUGCUCCUAUUAAAUAAGGCAUUUUAGCAUCAUUUUUUUUUAAAAUUUUUUAUGAUAAAGAGUUAGUUUUAUUAGAGAAUAUUUGUGUGGCUCAAAACACACACAAAAAUAAAAAGAAUUUUUGAAGUGAUUUUGGUGGAGUGAACUUUCAAUGAAAUUGCCUGCUUUCUCCGGAAGUAGUCACUUGGUGGUGACCUGUUAUUAACAAUCACUUUCGUCAGCGAUCCUCCCUAGAGUAAGUGGUAAAGAAUUUGGUGAUUAGUAUCCGAGAUUCCAAAUUCGAAUUCUAGUUACUUCACAUUUUCAGUUAAGUUUAUUUCUAAAUGAAACGAAACGGAUAGCAUGCUACCUAUCUCUUAAAACAACCACUUUCGUCCAUGCUCAACCAGUGAGUCGUCUUGCAAUCAAGCUCCCUUCUGCUUUUGCUUUUGAGGAUCAAUUUUUGUCCGCCUCGUCCUGUCCCGACCUGUCCCGUUUGAUUGAAAAAAAUAUAAUAAUAGAAAAGAAAAAAAAAAAAACUUCGCAUGUUUUUAUUAUCUUUUAGGAGGACUUUAUAUGCUAUGCAUUACAAAAUUAUCUAUUUGAAACUGGCCCACGGUUUACGUUCGCUAAUUUAUAAAUAUUAUUUUAAAAGCUAGGAUGAUGAUGAUAUCAAAAGCUCAUAUAUACAUAUAGGCCUGAAAAAAAGAAAAUUACAAUUUGAGAACUUUUAUCAUAUGAGACGCAAUUGCUUACCACUGCUGUGAUUUGGACUCUUGAUCUCGUCUUUAUCAUUUUUAUAAUUUACUGUUUGAAUAUUUUUAGUAGUUUAGAUCAAAUUUAUCAUUGUAAAUAAAAAAGGAUAAAAUCGCACAAAAUAUAUCUAAAAUAUGUAUCAUUUUGAAUCAGUUAUCUAAUUUUUUAGCUUGUUUAAUUUAGUUAGUAUAUUUCAUAUAAUUCUCACAAAUAUGAAUUUAUUAAAAUAAGUAAUUAGCUUGCUACCAUCUCAAAUCAAAUAAAUUAAUAUGUGGGGCAAUAAAAAUUAUAAUUUUGAAAGAUUGAAAAAUUUAUUCAAAAUAAUUUAUAGUUUAAAUAAGUUCUGUACGGCUCUACCAAUAAAAGAAAUAUAAGUAGGGUUUUUUGAAAUGCCAAUUGUGAAAGGAAUGCAUGGCUUUUACUCUUUAAUUCAAGUGGUCCAUGCACCUGCAAUUCACAUGCUUGGUUUAAACCCAUGUGGGUGUUAAAAAAGAUGUGUGAAAAUUAUGAAAAUGGAUAAAUAUUCAGAUCAAAUUCUAGUAACUGUAAGAGUUUAAAAAAAGUUCAUCAAUUUUUAUAAAUUACUGAUGCACCCUUUCUCAAAAUAUCUCAACACCGUAUUGUAUCGAGUACGACUAACCCUACAAAAUUUUUAAUUAUAAAAAUAAACAUCUAAAAUUUUUAUUAUGUAACUAGAGUUAAGCGUGCCCAAAUUUACAUAUUUUCUAUAUCUGAACCCCAAAUAAUAUAUAGGUUUAACGUUUUGAAAAAACGGUAAAUAGUUUACCAUAUUUAAAAAGUAGUUUUCAAACAGUAGUCUAUGUAGAUGUAAACUAAAUUCUCGAUACUCUGCUAAAAAAAAAAAUUAAACUGAUUCAAAAAUUUAAGCUCAUAAAUAAAAACACAUAUUAUAUUAUAUAUUAUAUAAAGGACAAAAUUCAUGUCCUUUUCCAUUAGGGGGACAUUUUGUAGAAUAGACUAGAAUUUGAACAGAAAAGGCUAAAAUUCUGAAUUUUUUUUUUUUUCUGUAGAGAAUGGUAAACAACUGUUGUGUCGAAUUAUUAUUAUUUUUUAAAAAAAUUUAAACAUUUGUAGUUUGUAAAAAUAAAGAAUAAUAAAAUAGUAAAAUAAUAUUAAUUCUUUUAUUGGAUAUGCUUAAACUGCAAUAUAUGCACGAGACCUGCUGCCUCAAUAGAUCCAACCAGUCACAGCCAUAUUGAUGAGAAAUAAUUGUGUGCACUCGGUGUAUCCGUACAACUUAUGCACCACAAAAUUUUUGAUGGCUAGUAUUUUAAAAUCAAAAUAUAUGUCAUUUGCACUAUCUGAAAUGUUUAUGUAUAAAAAGUAAAAAAAAAAAAUCAAAAUAUAUGUCUAAAAUUUGUUAGUUUUUGAAUGUCUUCCGUUAAUGAACUAAAAUUUGACUUUAUGAGUUUUAUAUCAGUAUAUUGUUACUCAUUUUGCAUUAAGGACAGAAUUAUAUAUUGGAUCAAAAGUAGAUAGGAUGAAAUUAUAUAAUAAUGCGUUAAUCUCGUUUUUCAAUUGGAUAAUGAUCAAAAAGUUUCUAAUGAAACUAAUGUGGAUCGUGUAAGCAAAUAAAUUAUUAUUUUAUUAUAGUUUUUACUAUAUAUAUUGUCUGUAAUUUCAAUCGUAAUCUUAUAUCUAGUUUCGAAUAACAGUAUCAAAAGUAUUUGUCUUUAUGGGUUGGAGGAGAAAAAAAUUAGGAAUGUUUCUGAUUAAUGUUUUACGCCUUUCAAAAUAUGAAGAUAGGUGCGACACGUACAGAUGCGUGUAUAUAUUACAGUACGGCAUGGUGCGCACUGGGUGCAAAUUUAAACAGGUAUGUAUCAGCCACAGUGGAAAGCGGGCCCCACCCGCCACAGCAGGACCAGCAGGGCGGGUGGGGGAUGAGGCUGGCGCCCAGCGAGUGCCACGUCAUCAUGUCUCCCGGGAGAUAGUGGUGGCUCACUGUAGCCGGCCACUAGGCCCCGGAAAGGUAGCCCCCCCCNNNNNNNNNNNNNNNCCCCCCCCCCCCCACUCUAGACCCGGCCCACGAAACAUCCCCAUCGCGAGCCGGGCCCAUCGGAUCCGGGACCACACCCGAACCGCGCUCGCCGUGUUCCUUCUCUUUACCCCCUUCAGUGGCAAACCGGCAAUUUCCCACCAACCGCGGUGGCCUUUUCCUACCUACGAACACCUCCUCGCCCAAUGGCGCGGUCGACACCUUUAGUAGGGCGAAGCGGUGCGGGACCCAGCGCCCCAUGUGCCCGCGCCCGCGCCCGCCUCCGCUGCAUAUCACGGGCGGGCCCCACGCGUCAGCGACGGAGCCGGGGACAUACACCCGUUACACCGAGCGUCCCCCUCUGUGUCUCCACCGGCUCCUGCCGCUCAAUGAUUAGUCCUCUUCUCCCCUCCCUCCAUACUCCCAUACUCUUUGCUCUUUACUCUCUCUCUCUCUCUCUGUAUCUCUCUCUCUCUCUCGCUGUGUGUGCGCGUUUUUCCCUCUCGCGCAGGGAAUAAUUAAGCUGUUCGGGAGGUGAGUGAGCGGCUAUCGUAUCUCUAGUUCCGGGGAAAAGAUAUGACGGCGCCAGACGGCGCGACUAACGGGAAACGGAGGGAGAGGGAGAAGGGAAUGGUGUUCCGCGGCGCACGGGGCCGGUUUAUGCGGGAAUGGUAGGGGGAAACGGAACGGGAACGGGAACGGGAACGGGGCGGUGACGGGGAAGAAGGCGCCGUCGAAGGACCGGCACAGCAAGGUGGACGGGCGGGGAAGGAGGAUACGGAUGCCGAUCGUGUGCGCGGCGCGGGUGUUCCAGCUGACCCGCGAGCUCGGGCACAAGUCCGACGGGCAGACCAUCGAGUGGCUGCUCCGCCAGGCCGAGCCCUCCAUCAUCGCCGCCACCGGCACCGGCACCACGCCCGCCUCCUUCUCCACCUCCUCCUCCUCCUCCGCCUCCGCCUCCCUCCGCGGCCCCGCCCCCUCCGCCUCCGCCCCCUUCAUCCUCGGCAAGCGCCUCCGCUCCGACGCCGACGCCGCCGACAAGGAGGACGCCGCCGCCGCAGCAGCCGCAGCAUCGGCGGUCGGGGUCGGGGUCGGAAUCGGGCCCUCGGGAGGGUUCUGGGCGCUCCCGGCCAGGCCGGACUUCGGGCAGAUAUGGAGCUUCGCCGCGGCGGCGGCGGCGGCGCCGGAGAUGGUCGUGCCUCCGGCGAGCUUCUCCGGGAGGUUCGCCGCCGCGGCGGCGCAGCCGGUGGGGGAGGCGUCGGCGGCGAGGGUGGGGAACUACCUCCCCAUCGCGCAGGGGCACCUCAACCUCCUCGCCACCCUCUCCGGGGCCCCCGCCGCCACCUCGGCGGGGCGGAACGAGGACGAGAGCCGCUAAUUCGGCGCGCGGGCCCCGCGCCAUCUCUAGGGUUAGGGUUUCCAAUUUUUAGAUUCGGAGAGUGAUGUCGAAGGUUCAACAAGUAGCUAGAGUGUUCCUCAUUGUCCAACUUAUCCUGCUUUUCUCCUCUUCGCAAGAAAAGGUAUUGGAAGAGAGACAAAAAUAGAAAAGGAGGAUUAAAUGCUCUCUCUCUCUCUCUCUCUCUUUCUGUCUCUCUCUCUCUGAAUUUGUGUGGAGAAUUCAGAAGGGAAACACCCCCCCCCAAAAAAAAAAAAAAAGCUUCUGGAUUUGCCCUGUAAGUUCUCUCUGUGUUCAAGUCCAUCUGUAAUUUAGUCAUUUUUCAUGGAUUUAUUAUUAGCAUUUGGGAAUAAUUAGUUGUUUGUAACUGUGUAUGUAUUUAUGGAUUGUUUGAUGGUGCAUGAGUGCCAAUAAAAACUGUACCUUUUUUUAUUGCUGCUAAGUCACUUUCUCUUGUGCCAUGUUUUUUCCCCCAUCACAGCUGUUCUCUAUUGAAUGAUAUCUCACCAACCAUUGUUAGUGGUGUUACAAUUUACCUGUUAGAGGACUUGUUUUCACUGGUCGUAGGAGCAGGUAAUUGGAGUUACAAUAACACUCUAGUGAGAUUGCUGCUAUGUAGUGGCAAACAAGUUCUCAUUGAGGGAAUCUCUUUAAAGUGUUCUUUCCUUUUUGUGAUGUGGGCAAUUCAUAAAAGUGGCAGGACUAAUAUUGGGAUUUUCCAUUAAAGUUGUGUUGAAUCAUCAUUUCCUGUGCUUCAUCCUGAUUUCUUCAUUGGGGUUGUAAUACACUAACAAAGGUCCACAUUUUAUCCAUUCUUUUUAUGCAUCGCGUCGUCUUUUUGUCUACUUUUACCUCAAAAAGUUGUUUUUGUAUCCGUUUCCGAAGUUCUUCGUUGAUCUACAUAGUAGCUUGUGUAUGUGCUUUUCUGCUUCUGCUUCUACUUGAUUUUUCUCCUUACUGCAUCAUUUUGUGGCCUUGUUUUGGAGUUCUCUUUCAAUCUAAAAUGCUAUGUUGCUUGUAAUGAGCCGCCUCGUAGUGAAAGUUGUUAGGGAGAUUGGCUCCAUUUAUAUUAACAGCUUAAGUUCAUAGGUUUGGGCCUGGUCGUAUAUAUCGACCCUUUACUGUUUCCGCGCAGGACUCUUUUCGCAUAUGAAUUUGCAGCUUUAGUAUAUUAUUGAUCAAGGCUGUCGUAGGCGUGAGUAGGUGCACACUGAAGCAGUCUUCAUCUUGUUAAGGAAACCUGAAAGGGUGGUCCUCACUAUCUAGUAUUUUCAAUAAGUUGACCUUUCUUUUUGCAUCUUGGUACAAGAAGUCUUUAUUGGGUGGUCCAUGUUUCUUAGUCUUUUUGAUAAGUGAGGGUUAGGUGCCUCAGAAGAUGCAUAUUCUAAGUUAAGACAAUGGACUAAUUGGGUUAGGUCUGUAUGGAAUUUGAAAUCAAAACAAUUUCUUCUCCGAACGGUCAUGACAAUCACCUGGGCUGGAUAAGCCCAAUGAGAAAUUUACUUAUUACGAUCGAAGAAAGUUGCAGCCUCUUGUAGGAUUCUGUCCGAUUUAAGUCGUGAAACCAUUUGGUCGAUGCACAAUAGAUGGUUAAUAUGAUCAAAAGCUUAAAUACUUCUUGGAAUUGUUGAAAUAAGUACUCCGAUACAUUCUGUAUAGUUCUAGCUUGCAUCUGUUAUGCCUCCAUGGCGAUUCCGAUGUGAGAAUAGAUCUUUCUUUCUGAAAAUGCGCUUUCAACCUUCUUUUUUCGAGAAAGAAAAUUGCAUUUUCAGUUUGAUCCAUUUUCAUUGCACUGCUGCAAUAUCUAAACCGCACAAGAUUAUCGGCCGGUAGUUAUUACUUGAGAAUUCCGGAGAGAAUCUUCUCGAACCGUAGCCGACUCAACCCAAGCCAUGAUUUAUCAACUAAUUUGGUGCCUAGAAUUCAGUUAUUCUCCACAUUGUGCUUGAAAACUCCUUCAGGCUUUAUCAAAACCACAAAUUGACUGUCAUAAUCUGAUGAUUAUUGUGCCAAGACAAGAUAUGCUAUGAACAUUCUACAUUUUGAGGAUUAAAUGGUCCUUCGAGUCGGCUAUCAGGAAAAGGUGCAAGAUGAAUGUAGUGUUGACAGCCAUUUAGGGUUCCUUUCGUGAUUUAUGUCUCUAAUCGGAGUCUUUCUAUCAGUAUCCUGUUUGGUUCGAGGAAAGAGACUUCUGAAAAUGCAGAUGCAGCAUUAAUUUGUUCAUCAUUGUGAAAAUUGUUGACUCUAAAGAGUGUUUCUGCAAUGUUUGUUCAUUGUGACAAUGAAAUGUAGCAAUGUGUCCUGUCCUAAAAGUUACAUUUGUUUUGAACCCCCCCUCUGUUUUGGUAAAUCAAGAAUCAAGAUUGCCCAUAUCUCUCAACCAUGCAUAGUAAAAAUUCCUAUAUUUUAAAUCUGUUGCUUGUUUCUUUUAGAGAUCUCUCUCAGGAUUAUGGCACAGCAAAUCUUUCUGGUUUCUCUUAUUAAAAGUUGUUUUCUCCCUAGUCAAAAGGGCGCAGAACUUCAUCUCUACUAUCCAUCGCUUUCCGCAUUUUAAUUUUACUGUUCAAUCUUUCAAUUUGUUUGAUUUUAAAAGUUCAGCUAAUUACUUUAUUGAAUUAUUGUUGUGAGAAUUUAUUAAAUCUGUAAAAAUAAACGGCGUAUUCGAAUUUUAAGUUCAAAGUAUUAUUAACUGAACUGGAUAGUAAAAUCAAAUUUUGAAAGAUUUGAUAGCCAACUCAAGAUGCUUCAUAGUUCACGUAAGUUUUGUACCUUCAUUGAAACCGUAAACAUUGACGAUGCGACACACAGCAACAGCGGUAGAAAAGCAAAAACCCCCAGAAGCCUCAAUCCUAGCUCCUACUUUGCACGGUGUUGGUCGCCCACACGGCGGCGCCGUAAAUGACGACGUUGCCGUCGCCCUGCACGACGAGGCGGUAGCUGUUGGGCCCCCGCGCGCUGUUGCUCGUCCACAGCACGUCGCCGCCGCCGCCGGAGAACACGACCAGGUUCCCGCUGCUCUGCAGCUCCGCGCGGCAUGCGGUACCCUUGCGGUCGGUCUGCGACGACCAGAGCGCCCGGCUCUUGUUGACGUACAGCACCAGGUUGCAGUCGGACUGCAUCACGAGCGUGUACGGGCCCCUCUCCAGAAACUGGCCUGCAGUCAGGCUUUCCCCUGAAAAUAUCAUGUCCUCCGCUGCGACUGACAGAAUAAUCAUCAACAAAAUCAUCGUCGCAGUCGCAUUCGGUGCGAAUCGAAAUGCCACCAUAUUGGUGCUGGAUCUUAUUAUUAUUAUUAUUGCUGUUGUUUUCUUUUAUUAUUGCUGUGUUGUUCAUCUUGCUGAGCUAUUUUUAUAGACGUGAUCCUACCCUUUAACGGGCUUGUAUUUAAUGCUGUGUUCAAAUAAACAAGAGGCUUCGUUUGGUUUUAUCCUUUUUUUUAUUUUUUUAAACAUUAAUUUUAUAUGACUUUGGUGCGUUGGAGAGUUUUUUUUGUUGUCAAAUAACUAUUUUGGGUGAAAUGAUCAUAAGCAAUUUUUUUACCCACUUCCAUAUUUUUAGAUAUAUAACAUUCUUUUUUAGAAAAAAUAUAUACAAUACCAAAUGAGGCCUAACCGAGCGAAAAAAAAAAAAAAAAAAACUUUGCAAGGUAUUUGGUGAAUUUCAAAUAUUUGUAGGAAUUUCAAGUAACUAUAAUAUAUUUGUUUUGACAACACUAAUUUUUAAAAUAUACGUGCAAAAAAAAGGAAAAGAAAAUUAGUUUAUUGUUUGAUUUUAUUCAAAAUAGCAUUGAAAAAAAAAAUAAAUUUCAAAUACCAUCUCUGUAGUUUCUUACUUUCUAACUUUAGUAACCUACAGCUUAAAGCGUAUCAAUUUAGUAUUCUGUGACAUCCUGUGGUUUUAUUUUUCUCUUUUCGUCAGCUCCUUCGUUAGCAUUUCGUUAAAUUAUAUACAAAAAUUUCAAAUAUCCACAUAAAUUUAUCGAAUAUCCAAUUUAGUAUCUUUUAGUUUUAACUUUGUCACUGAAUUUACGAAAAAAAAUAGUAAAAAAAUAAUAAAAAAAUAAAAAUAAAAUUAUGGAAGUAGUAAAUUAAUACACUUUAAAUUAUAUGGUACUAAAAUAAGAAAAAUGUAAUCCAGAGAUAGAAUUUAAAGUCUUUUUUUGAAAAAAUAAAAAUGGUUUGUUAAAGUGGGUCCUCGUAGUGGGUAAGGUUCAUUGUUAGCUUUAACGGACUUUGUUCAUUAGUCAACGCCGCCGAGUAUGAAUUAUAUAUAUAAAUGAUGAUGACGCAGCCGUACAUCAUCUUCAACGUUAUCUGGUGGAAAUUGUGGACUCUUUGGUCAAAGGUGUUCACUCCUUUUCCAUUGCAAGUCAAUCAAGUGGUAGUUUGGCGACACCUGCUAUAGACUCUACGAAAGACGGCGAGUUCUGCUGUAUCAAACGAACUCGACUUCCUGCGUCGGGAUCGUAAAGUCGCGAGUUCGCGCCGCAUCCAAACUCGCCGUCACGCGAGACUGUCUUGCCCGGAAGGAGAGAUGUCAAUCGAUAUAGAUAUCCGAAAUUUUAUCCGAAUUCGAACCCGAAUGAAACGGAUAUAUCCGAUGGAUAUGGAUAUGGAUUCGAAUAUGGAUAUAAAAAAUAGAAAUCCAACGGAUAUGAAUUCGGAUAUGGAUUUUGAUUGUACCCGAACCGAACCCGAACCCGAACCCGACCCGAACCCGAAUUUAUUUUGUAUUAUAUAUAUAUAUAUAUAUAUAUAUUUGAUGUUAUAUUUGAAUUUGUAUUUUAAAAAUUUAGAUUUAAUAUAAUAUAUUUUGAAAUACUUAAAAUAGAAAUAAUUGUUUCGGGUUCAAAUUUUCAGAUUCGGGUUCGGGUUUCGGAUUUUUGGUCGGAUUCGGAUUUGGAUAUGGAUUUUUAAAAUCCGUUGAGUUCGGAUUCGGAUUCAGGUCUCGGGUUUGGAGUCGGAUUUGGGUUCAGAUUUUUAAAAAUCCACCCCGAAUCUGACCCAUUGACAUCUCUACCCGAAAGUGGACCGUUUGGGCCCACCGACUUUCAAGAUCAUAGCGUCGCCCAAAUGCCGGCGGCUUUACAGCUGGACCCCAGCUUCUGUAGAAAGAGACAUGCCUUAUUAAAGUUUAGGCGUAGGACGUCGAAUCGGAAAAUCUACGAAAUCAAAUCAAUUCACUGAUUUUUUGAUUUAAAUUUAAUUGAAUUUUGCUUGUAAAUGGUAUAAGUAUUGGUUUACAAAAUUAAAUUGAAAGAACAGAAGAGUAGGUUUGAAAUUGCCAAACUUUCCAUACUAUUAUUGUAUCAUUCCUCUCAUCUAUGGCUAGAGAUUCUUUGAUAUAUGCAGAGUUUGGACUUCAUAUUAAAUUUGUGAAAAAGCAAAGAAAGCAUUUGAAUUCAGGAUUUUUUUACUAAGAUACUAAGUCCAACAUUUGGUCUCUAAAAUUAAACUAAAAGUUUCACAAGAUUUUGUUUUAAUAUUUAAUAUUCAACGCACACCAAAAGUGACAUGGACAUGUUCCAUUUGGAAACAUGCUUGAUUUAUUUUAGUUUACUUUGAUGUAAAUAGAGUAGCACAUUGAAGUGAUCAGUUUGUUUUUUUGAGAAAAAGUUGUUUUUUAAGAGAAAGGUAGUAUGGUUCAAGAAUAGUACGAAUUUUGAAAAUAUGCUUCUAAUUUUUUUAUCAUUGGAUUAAUAAUUAUAUGGUUGGAAUGAUUGCGGUUUUCUUAAGGAUUGAGCAGUAUCUAUAAAGUUGAGUGGUUUCUACAAGGUACUAGGAGGUGAUCUAAGGGCUAAAAAGUCGAAAGCACUAGAUCCUCUAUGCUUGCAAUAGCCUAGUACUCUCUCUCUCUCUAUAUAUAUAUAUACAGAGAGAGAGAGAGAGUGAGAGAAUUAUGCUAUUAUACUAUCGAUAGUAUCAAGUGCUUGGUGUCAUCGAGUUUUCGGCCGUUGAAUGAAAGAAUGUACGGUUAAGAUGAUAGUAGUCUUCUAGGGUUGAGCACGUGGUUGGUUGAAUAGUAUAAUCUAACGGAUGAAAAUGAUCAAAGGAUAGAUCUAAUGGCAGAAAAUUUGAUAGCAUCAAGAGUUUGAUACUAUCGAUAACAUAAUCACCUUACUCUCUCUCUCUCUCUCUCUCUCUCUAUAUAUAUAUAUAUAUAUAUAUUCCUUAAAAUGCAAUGGACCCAAAUCCGAGCACAAACAAAAGAUUUUAAAUUGUUUGGCUAUGUUUAUUAAUCCGAGCCCAAGGUGCACUUCCUUAAAAUGCAAUGGACCCGAAUCCGAGCAACAAACAAAAGAGUUUAAAUUGUUUGGUUAUGUUUAUUAAUCCGAGCCCAACAUCAGUGAGCCUAACAUUAACCUAUCACUACCCGAAAAGGUCGGAAAAUUAAAUCUCGCAAUUGUUUUAUUUCGCUAAAUUUUCUGGUGAUCUAAGAAGCAAUAUAUCAAAUUAAUUUUCGUACUCCAUCAUUUUGACUUUAUGUAACUAUACGGAUUAUCCAAUUUUUAAUUCAGCAGUUUAAUUUAAGUGGCAACAUUAAUUUGGAAUCUUAAAUCUGCAAGCAAAUAUAAUUAUGCGGAUCUAAAACUCCCCUGUCUCUAGCAGCUAAAAGACAAAAAAAAAAAAAAGGUAUAAAUAAAAAAAGUUGUUACCUAGUAAAAAUGUAGAUAAUUGUGAACAGGGUUCAUAAAAUAAUUUUGUACAAUAGACUCUUUUAGGAUAUUAAAACAAGUAGACAUUCUCUAUUGCUCUCCUUUCCAUAACCAAUAAACCCAUUACACUACAAAAACAUUAUUGGCAUGGUGUCCCUUUCCAUCAAACUGUACAGCAUAUGAAUGGAAUAGGGCAUCCCCAACUAUUACUCACUAAAGAAGCAAAAACAAAAACAAAAAACAAAAAAAGUUUUUUUUUUUUUUUUUUUUUUUUUUUUUUUUUUUUUUUUUAUUAUUAUGAAAAAGACAACAGCUGGCUUGCAGAUUUAAAUGCCACAAGGGCACCAUAAAUAUAUCCUAACUAGAUUUCCUUCUCUCCGUUAAUUUUUCUGUUAAAUCAGUAAAAAAGUUAAAACUACAGUGUACUAAAAUAAAAAUUUGAUAAAUCAUAGGAUAUUAAAGUGAAUAUUCGAUAAAUCAUAGAUGAGUAUCUGAAGUUUCUUCUAUAUGAUUUAGCGGAGAGUUAACGGAGGUGCUGGCAGAAAGAAAAAAAUAAAAUUACAAGAUAUAAUUUUAUACUUUCUCCGUGCACUCUUUUCUCCUCUUUUUUUUUUUUCUUUUUUUUUUUUUUUCCGACAUGGUGCAAAUAUUUAAAUUUCACCCUUCAAUCGACAUUGAUUUCCGCAUAAUAUCGCAUAUCAAAUUUGAUUUGUUUGAAAAUGAAGAACAUAAAUAUUGUAUCGUUUAUUGCGAUUAGCUGCAUCUCGCAUUCUACACCUCAAAAGUUUACAUAUAAAAUCAUUCGAUUUCUAGAACAUAAUGAAUGAUGUGAAGGAAAACAUAAAUUCCGCGUUUCUNUUUUUUUUUUUUUUUUUUUUUUUUUUUUUUUUUUUUUUUAUUAUUAUGAAAAAGACAACAGCUGGCUUGCAGAUUUAAAUGCCACAAGGGCACCAUAAAUAUAUCCUAACUAGAUUUCCUUCUCUCCGUUAAUUUUUCUGUUAAAUCAGUAAAAAAGUUAAAACUACAGUGUACUAAAAUAAAAAUCUGACAAACUAGUGUCCGAGAACGUGACGUAUUUAGUUGAACUUAUUCAACUUAAAAGAUUAAGUCAUUAGGUCUGGACUCAUUAGUAUAAAUUAACUAUUUUUACUCUCAUAUAAUUAUUCGAAGUGAGAUCAUUUAUAUAUGAAUUUUUAACAUUCUCAACCAACAAACAAUAAUCUAUGUGCCAACUUGAAAGUAGGGCCUAGUGGUUGAAUCAGUCCUGCUUGUUGCUUGUUAGUAGAUAAUGAGAUUAACUUUUGUGCAUAAAUAAAAAAAAAAGCUUCAAAUACUAUUCCUGUGGCUUCGCGUUUUCUUACUUUAGUAUCCUAUAGUUUAAAGCAUAUCACUUUAGCGAGCUGUUUGAAAAAACGACACUAACAUUUUUCUAUCAAAGUGUUUGUUUACCAACUUAGCUACUGAAGUACACAAACAGAAACCUCAUUAUUUUAAGAAUCUAGAAAUAAAAAUGUAAGCCGUUAAAUGUGAACUUGAAUUUUUUUUUUUUUUUAGUUGCGACAUAUUUUUGCAGCAAAUUGAUUUUUAGAUUUUCUCAAAAGCACAUCUUGAUGAGGAGACAAAGCACGCUUAUUAGCUGCUGCUGCUGCUGCUGUUGCUGUCACAGGUGGUGUUUGUCGUUUUUUCUCACCAAACUCCGGGCCAGGUAAUGGGCUCUGAGGGGGCCCACACCCGGCCCAUGAAUAGCCCAAACUGCACGUAAGUGAAUGCUCCUGUCACAGCCGACCAUCCCAAAUGUAGUCCAUCAUCCUCCUCCAUGAUCCAUGACUACUCCACCAAUCGUUUUCCUCCUACACCCCACACACAAUUUUCUUUUUUUUUUUUAAAAAAAAAACUUUUCUAAAGAUAUUAAAAUUAGGGUUAAUUGCGUGCAGGUCUCUAUAAAUAUAGUGAAUUGAAAAUAUAUACUUACAGAGUUCAACUUCAUAUAUUGUUCUUACAAAGGUGUCCCUACCGUUAUAAUCCGUUAGUGGACCACUUUAUCCCUCUUAUUGGAGGGAGAUAUUUGUGAUGGCGAAAUUGACAUUUCACUUAUUUGCUAUUAAAAUAUAAACAGUUUUCUAACGAUAACAAACUAGAGGGAUAUAUUUGAAAAUAUUAAGACUUUUGUAGGGACAACAUAUGAAAUUUGAACUUUGUAGAGAUAUAUUUAUAAUUCACUAUGUUUGCAGGAACAUGUAUGCAUUUAACCUUUACAAUAAUCUCAAUUUUCUUGUCCAUUUUCGUAAGUAUUAGCAUUUGUCCGCCACUUGACAUUUUUUAGGUUCCGAUGUCUUUUUACUCAAAAAAAAAAAGAAGAAAAUAAAUAGCCACACUGGCGAGACAUGCUUAAUCUGGUGGAACUAUCAUUAUGUGUCGAGUUUAAUCAAAUUUAAUUAAGAAAUAAUAACUAAUUAAAUUCACUAAAUUUAUCGGUCAAUAUCUAAAUCAUUUAUAUUGAUAGCGUCGUUUUUUGUAGCUGGAAACCAUUUUUGAGGAAAUUGCGUCGUUUUCUCCAUUUCUUUCACUACAACAUCAUAUAUUAAUGUUUUAGCAUAUGAAAAAUAUUUCCAUAUAAUACAAACAAUUUUUUUUCCGAAAAGAUGGUUCGAAUGAACUUAUCAGCAUAUAAUGAAGCUCCAUGUUUAUCCAUUUUUGCUGACAUAUCCGUGGGAAUUAUUGUACCUUACUAUCCGAGUUGUUUUCAAUGUCUACAUAUUUGUACUCAAAAUCUUAGAGAAGAUCACUUCGAUUGUCACUAGCAUUGAUCAGUAAAAUGAUGCGAGCAAUCGAAAUAUAUAAUUAAACAAGAAAACGCCUUUAUAACACUUUGAAUCACCAAAUAUCCCAUCUUAGUACAGUCAAAAACUGGGGAAAUAAAGAUGCUACAUACACACACUAGUUUUACAAGAAUUCGCUUUUGGGAGAAGCAUGAUGUUGCCUAGUUAUAUGUUAUUCCUAAAGUGAGAGCGCACUAAAACAACCCCACUUGUCAAUGUUUAGGGGGGGAGAAAAAGGGCUCACUGUAGAUAAUAUGAUUUAAGUUUGGGCCCACAAUGGAAUGAGAGUCCAAAAUAAUUCAAAACCUUGGUGUGCGUGCAAUCCAAAAAAAAAAAAAAAAAAAAAAUCAUCUGUACACCAGGUGUAUUUGCAUGUCUCAUGGACCGUACUUAGUACUUAAAAGGUUAUGUCGCAGUGUCAAAUCUGUUCCGAUAGAAGUGAUCCGUAAUAUUUAAGGCUCCGUUUGGUUCAGGCGAUAAGCGGAGAUAACACAAGUUAUCUCCACUAUUCCGCCAAAAGGAGUGAUGUUUUACCGGAAUAUUUUAUCCAGGUCAAAUUUUGCUAUUUUCGGUUAUUCCGGAAUAGUAAGAAAUUUGCUCUUUCAAUUCUUAAUUUCAAACUUAAUUAAAAUUAUAAAUUGAAUUAAAACUAAAUUAUAUAAAUAUAGUAUGUUAUAUAUUAUAAUACAUAAUUUUUAUUAUAAAAUUAUUAAUUGUACUAUAUUAAUACAUAUUAUUUAUAUUUAAAUAUUAUAAUAAAUUUUAUAUUAUCAAAUUCAGGAACUCUUACAACAAAGGGGCUUUAAUACUGAGUUGAUACUAUAUUAUCUAAAAGAUCGAUCUGAUUAAAAACAUACUUAGAAUAGUUUUAGCAUAUAAUACAUAUUAUGAACUAAACUUUGACUAAAAACCUUCAUAUAGCAAGGUUUUAAAGGUGCAGUGCCUAGUGCAUCAUGUGGUUUGAUGCUUAAUUUCUUCUUGAAGCUCUCCACUCCUUUCCAAGAUGGUCUCCGUGCCAACCUUUGGUGGAAAGGCAUUUAUCGUCGGCGAUCGCGCGAGAGUAUGGUGUCAUAUAGUGAAAAAGCAGAUAUAGUUGUACAUUUCACGCACUCUAUAUACAUAUAAUUUUAAAAAAUCGAGAGCAUGAUCUUCUGAUUUUGUAGUCAAUUUUCCCUUGAAUUUUUUCGGCGAUAUACCAUUGUAAUCCCGUCCACGCCACGUAUUCAAUAACAGUGAGUACGUUGUUCGUGGUACGUAGUUGGACGAUGAAGAUUGGAAGAUGAGGUGAAAUAAACGUUCGAAGGGCGUAGGAGAGCACGGGACGUAUGAAUGCACCGCGUCCAAGCAAAUAUUUUUUGAAUGCAGUGGGUGGUUACCCUUCCCUCCUCCUCCCUUCUAUUUGCGAAAGAAAGUGUGCAUACGCGAGAGAGGAGAAAAAGAGAGUCAUGCGCCGGCCUAUUUUGUAAAGUGAAGUGGCGCCUCUCCUGUCCCGCUUUCUUUCGAGUGGGCGGUCGCAUCCCCGACCCCAUCUUCGCAUGCACAGGUUCUAGAUUUAAGCUCAUACUACUUAGGCUUGAACCUCUGACCUCAUUAUCGACACCAAAGUUUAUUAAAUAGAAUUAACUAGAUUAUUUUGAACACAAGCCAUAGCGCAACACGUAGAAAACUACUAUUCUUUGGAGAUUAAUAAAUUACGAGGGAGAUUACUAAAUCAUGGUGCGCAGAUGGAUGUACGGAAGAGGCAGAUGCAUGGAGAUAAAUACAAUUGUGUUAGCUUUGAUGGUUGUUAACAAUUUAAUUUAUUCCUUGCUUAAAAGUAGAGCUACAAGUACAUAACAAGAUGUUUCUUUAUAGAUAUAUUAGAGAGAUGAGAAAAGGUCAAUUGGAUUCUAACAGUUAUAAAUUAAAUUGUCACUAAAUGCCAACCAAGUCCUCCUCUAGGUUAGAAAAGUAUUGUGAGGUACAAUUAUACCAUCAUAAUUAUUGAUAUUGAUAUUCGAGACUAGUAUAUGUAUAUUUUUAGCAAUUAUAUAAUCAAGUUUCAAUAAAUAUAAACUUUCCAUCAAUAUCAACAUCUUAGGUCUGGUUUCGAAAUGUAUUGUCCAAACAUACUCAAAAAUAGUGGUCGAGAACGUAAUAAAGAAGCAUCCUUUUCUAAGAUAUAAACUAGGUGCAUUUAGGUACCGUUUGGUUUGGGUAUAAGCAAGAACUAGCUAUUACAGGGAUAGGUACAAGUAUGGGGAUAAGAAAAAUAGUGUUUGGAUGAAAAUUGGGUUGUUCUCGGAGAUAAGAACAAUUUUAGGUAGUUUUAUAUAGAAAAUGAAGGUGUUGGUGGGGAUAACCGAGACUAUUAUUCUCGGGUAAAAAAUUAGCGUUUGGAUAUAAAGGGGGGGAUAAGGGCCUAUUCCUAUCCCUAUCUCCUAACCAAACGCUGAGAGAACAUAUUUACAGACUAGGUCUUAUUAAUUUCUGGAUGUUGCAAUGCUUAUCUAAGUUUUAGGGCUAUAGAUGGGAUCUAGAAUGAACAAAUUGGCUCGAUUUGGGUUGGAUCUAAGAGGUAAAACCAUAUGAUCUUCCAUAUAUGGCCUAGAAAAGUAAAGCUUAAUAAAAAAUAUUGGUGUAAUAAUUAAGAUACUCAUCAAUUUAAUAAGGAACUCUCUUUAUUUAAUAAAAAGUGGUCUUCAAAAGAAGUUAGAGAUCGAUUCCUUUCUCACUCACUAUAGCUAGGCAUGUCUUUAAUUGCCUUGACCAACUUUAAGCACAUAUUUAAGAGGUGUCUCAAAUUAAGCUAACUCUUUGCACAUGUGUCCCUCCAAAACUCAUAUUUCAUCUGUGUCCCUGAAAAAUAUAUGUAUAUGCAUGCACAAAUACGUGUACGUAUAAUUUUUCUAUCAAAUACACACAUGUUAAUAGCUAAUUUUCCCAUCUAGGUUAUCUUCAUCAUGGAAACUAUAUCUAUAACUGUUGGUGAGAUUCCUCCUUAAUCUCGCUUCUCUUUUACGAUAUAUAUGAUCUUGAAUUUGCUCCCUAAGUUGAAAACUUUUUCAUUUUACUUAAGUGACAGGUGUUUUUUUUUCAAUUUUUUUUUUCAAUUUUUUUCCCUUUAGAUAGUGAUGUAUCAACUUUUCUUAGCUCACUCAAUCCAAAUUAUAUGGUCACUGGACUAGUGACUCAUCUAUCUGAUUCUGAGGUCAUUUUCUUCUUUGUAGGAGAUAUCUAGUUAGUUUACCAGGUCCCAGUACAUUAAAUUUUUAUUUUAUUUUUUUAUUUUACCAUGAGGAUGGAAAGAAAAUUAAGUGGCAUUAAUUGCAUCAUAUUUUGGCAAAGCUUAGUUCACCAAGAGACUUACAUCCUCUAAAGAGUAAUAAUUUUGAUAGAAUAGGGCCCUAGCUAUAUCCCUUCUACCUCUAGACAAAAGUUACAAGUUUCUUAUUGUUAGUUUAUUACUUGGUUUCAUCUAAAUAGAGUGGUGACUUCAAAUUUGGAAAAAGAAUUGAACACAAUUUAGGAUUUAGACGACUAGAUUUGUCGAAUUAAACACCCGGCCAUUCCUCGAAUUUACGGUAGGUUUUUGAGAAUUUCCAAUUUAGUUUUUGCAAUCAAUGUAUCACUUGUUAUUAUAGUUGGAGUUAGGAGUAACACUUAAUGAGAGUUUGGUGUUUUGGUUGAAUCUUCAAUAAUUGGUCCAAAGUAAGCUCAAGAUAUUUUCUCUGGUCAGGUAUUGAUCACCUGAUAUUUGGUUGGUGAAUUAUGGUAUAUAUAUGUAGGCAAGCAUGUUUAUCAUCCCUAGCUAGAUACUAUUAGGAAUUGCUCAAUAAAUAAUGCUACACCAUUUAGUUCUGUUUUAAGACAGGAGACUUAUUGAAACCACUUAUCAUGUCAUUCGUCAAUACGUCGUUGUUCAACGUAACUCCUCCUUUAAAAGCACGUUUUGUUGUCAUGCGUUUAUUUUGUUUUCAUUCAAUAAUUCAGUCAGCAUUUUCAAGGAAGAGAUGCUUAAUGUAUCCUAAAUUUGGAACUUUAUUACUUUAUUGAUUUGUUGGCGCUCACAUAUUUAGGAUUUAAAGUUUAAAACUUAUGGUAUAAUAAUGAUAUGAUGCUUAGAGUUUAGCGGUGAUAUUCAGGAUUUAGUAACGAUAUUUAGUGUACAUUAAUGAUGUUGCCAUGCCAUCUAUGACAUUACGAGGAACUCCAAACGGGUAGCUAUAACGUAAAGAAUUAUAAUCUUUGAAUAGAGAUAAAAUUGAUACAUAAAAUCAAAUCGGAGGUUUCUAAAUGAGAUGUAUUGAGCACUCACCACUGAAGUUUAUUUAAUUCCUAAAUUCGAAUCAUAUUUAGAAAUCAUUUGAUGAAUAAAUAAAUCUAGAUCGUCUACUAAUGCUGAAGUAAAAUGUUGUCGUGUGUGCAAUUGUGUACAUGCGGGGAGGGGGAGAGGGUUCUAAACACUUUGUUUUAUUCAAAUAAUACUUCUACAAUAUAUAAUCUUAACAAUAUUCAUAAUAUACCGACCAUCCCUUACGCAAGUGGCAAAAGGAUUUGAUGGUUGGUACCCGAAACCCAAGUUCGAAUCCUAGUUGAUUCACAUUUCCAGCUAAAUUUAUUUCUAAAUGAAAUAAACGAAAUAGAUAGCAUACUACCUUUCUCUCAAUAAUAAUAAUAAUAAUAAUAAUAAUAAUAAUAUUCGUAAUAUUUCAAUAAAGAUAAUUAUUUCAUUGGCAAAUUUGGUAUGUCAAAUAGGCUCACUGAAAAGGCAAAAACUAUAAACAAUACUUCUAUAGUAACUAGCCUUAACAACAUUCUCAAUAUUUAAAUAAAGAAAACUAUUUUGUUGUCUAAUUCGCGAGCCAAAUAAGCUCAUCGAAUCGGCAAAAACUGCCGAAUGAAAUAAUAAUUAAUGAUUUAAUAUCACAAAUUAAAUUUUAAUUAAUAGUUUUUAUUUGGGAAUAAAUUUGUUUUAGAAAAAAAGGUGGAACAACAGUUUCUGCCGUAUAUCGAAUUAUAUCAGCUUAUUUUAAAAAUUGAAUAACUAUUAUUAUUGAAUACAAAAAGUUACGUUUGAGAGCAAGAAAAAGAAUAAGGGCUUAUUUUUACACUUGUUUUCGAAUCAAACACUGGCUAGAAAAAUAGUCCAUUACAUAACCAAAACACGCCAUCAAAAAUGUAAAAAAUGUUUUAAAAUCAAAACUUUUAAAAUUCACGGUUAUUUUAAAGAUAAAAUUUAAACAAUUUCUUUUCUUCUUUUUUUUUUUAACUUGUUUUUCUCAUUAUUGGGAUUCAACCGAGUACGGCCUCCGUCCUCUUCCCUUUCGCUCUGCGACGCUAACAACCGCAUCACUGCUGUAAGACCACCUUUUGGAAUCCCCAGACAUGUGGGCCCCACCCGUCGUCAUGCUGGUAACCUCUAGGUGUAACCGUUACUCUGAAUACUGUUAAUCACCACCGUACGUUUGGCAUCUAAAACCCCACCACCGCGAAAAUUCCCACGACGAGCAUCCGAUGGCUCCUGUUCACCGACUCUUUUUCCUCCUCCCUCUUUUUUCUUUUUCUUUUUCUUUUUCUUUUUUUAUUUUUAUUUUUGAAAAAAAAUUAUAUUAUUAUUUAAUUUUUAAAUACGAAAAGGUAACGCUUCCCUCUCCCUCAUUAUAUUCCCCCAAAGCGCUCCUCCUCCCAUUCCAAUCCCUACAAUCGCCGACAAUGUCUUCUUCUUUUUCCUUCUAAACUAAACUUUUUAUUUGAAUUUAAAUUUUAAAUUUGAAGUUCGAUUUUAAGUACGUACCUCUGUUUUUGAAUUUGGAGAUGGGGAAUCUCCGGCGCGGUGGUUCCGGGAACGCGGGGCUCCGCGCGCGCGUGGCUCGUGCCGCCCUACCUCUUCAUCACCGUCCACCUCAUCAUCCUCGUCAUCUGGAGGCUCUCCGACCACAAGCUCCACCGCGACCACUCGCCGCCGCCGGCGCAAGAGGCGGCGGAGGAGCCGGCCGCGAAGCCCCGGGAUCUCGCGCGCAAGCCCACGCCGGAAUCGUGGCACGAGGAUCCGGCGCCGCCGCCGGAGUCGUCGGAGUCGUCGUCGUGUGUCACCACGGAGUCCGAUGAGGGAUCCACCGCGUCCUCGCGCGUGCUCGGCCUCAAGAGGAGCGUGAAACCCUCGCCGGGGAGCGUCAUAAGGGUCGAGGAGGAGGAGGAGGAGGAGGAGGAGGAGGCGGCGGCGACGGUGGGUGGGGACGAGUUGACGCGGCGGUUCGAGGACUUCAUCAGGAGGAACCACGACCAGAUCCGGCUCCAGAGGGAGGAGAUGAUGAUGAAGAAUCAAAAGAUGCGUUAAAUCGAAUCCAAAAUCCCAAUUAAUGAAGCUCUAAUUGAAGGGAUUAAUUACAAGUGUGUUCUCUCUCUUGGUGUUUUUAGAUCUCUCUUAGAUGGAGAGAAAACACACACACAACCAAAUUUUCAGGUAAUUAAUUUCGUUUUAACCAAUUUCACCAAUAAAAUUUGGUCUCCUAAUUUUUCUAAUUUAAAUUAUGUUUAUCAGUUAAACUGGAGGUUCCAUCACAUUUAAGAGCAAUUUUAGUACAUUUAAUAUUUCAAAUACUAUUUUUGCCUAAUAGAGUUAUUAUAGAUUUAUUAGAGUUUAGGGGCUUUAAUUGAUUUAUUAUUAGAGUUUUUAAUAUUUUAAAAACUUCUUGUGGUAAAGGAUUCAAAAUUUGAAAUUAUUUUUUCCCUACUUUUUAUUAAAAAA
This 21014-nucleotide long non-coding RNA is filed under the name Ananas comosus (pineapple). RNAcentral's name for it is "long non-coding RNA (ACOM_LNC033943)". The record is from RNAcentral. Lineage: Eukaryota; Viridiplantae; Streptophyta; Magnoliopsida; Poales; Bromeliaceae.